CAGUCGCCGCGGGAAUACGUAGGUGGCAAGCGUUGUCCGGAAUUAUUGGGCGUAAAGCGCACGUAGGCGGAUACUUAAGUCAGGGGUGAAAUCCCGGGGCUCAACCUCGGAACUGCCUUUGAUACUGGGUAUCUUGAGUCCGGGAGAGGUUGGUGGAACUCCGAGUGUAGAGGUGAAAUUCGUAGAUAUUCGGUAGAACACCAGUGGCGAAGGCGGCCAACUGGCCCGGUACUGACGCUGAGGUGCGAAAGCGUGGGGAGCAAACAGGAUUAGAUACCCCCGUAGUCCCUGUCUCUUAUAC
RNAcentral lists this ribosomal RNA (301 nucleotides) under uncultured bacterium. RNAcentral's name for it is "partial 16S ribosomal RNA". It matches the Rfam family "Bacterial small subunit ribosomal RNA", at positions 509 to 807 of the family's 1533-position model. The record is from RNAcentral.